AUGUCUGUAGAUGUAAUAUCACUGUAUACCAAUAUUCCGUUAGAGGAGGCACGAUAUAUAUGUGAAUCAACCUUGAACAGGAGGCCUAAUCACCACCCUCCCACCUUUUUUUUGUUGGAUCUUCUUGAUAUUAUUCUUGAAAAAAAUUACUUCAAAUUGGAUGAAAAAUACUAUUUCCAAAUACAAGGUGUAGCCAUGGGCAGUCCUGUCGCGCCAGCGAUAGCCAAUUUAUUCAUGGAUAAUUUGGAGAAUGAAACUAUCUUGAAUCACACAAAGAACCCUGUAGCGGACGGCAUUAUCAAAUAUUGUAGAUUUAUUGAUGAUAUCUUUAUCAUUGUUAAUUCACAUCAGGAGGCAGUAACGUUAUUAUCCUGGAUCAAUACAAUUCACCUCAAAAUUAAAUUUACAGGAAACAUCAGUUCUACAUCCUUGAUUUUUCUAGAUGUCGUGGUUACAAAGGAAAAUGAUCGAUUGAAAGUGAGUAACCACCGAAAAACCACUGAUAGAAACUCCUUGUUACAUUACAACAGUUACCAUCAUUGGGCAUUAAAAAAUAAUUUACCCUUUACACAGAUGCUCAGGAUUAAACGCAACUCCUCUACCCUACAGGACUUCAAUCAGGAAAUGGAAGAGACAAAAAGCAGGUUCAGAAAUCGAGGUUACCCAGAGUCCAUAAUACAAUCAGCCUACUCGAAGGUUGCCAGUAUUCCUAGAUCUAAACUCCUAGAGGACAAAAUUAGACCAGGAGUAGACAGAUUGAUAUGGCCACUCACACUUACAAGUUUGUCCAAUCUAGCCAUCAAAACUGUUAAAAAGUACUGGAACUUAAUAAGAGACAUCCCUGGAUGUGAUAGACCCCCUUUGGUAGCAUAUAAAAGAACAAGGAAUAUUGGGGAUAUAUUGGUACAUUCAAACAUAACCAAUAGGCCCCGGACUGUAAAAUCUAAUCUGGUGGGCAACUAUCGCUGCCAUCAUUGUUCAGUAUGCAGCCAAUUGAUAGAGACCAAAAUCUUGACACACCAACAUCUAUCAUUCGAAUUUAAAUUUCCCCAUUUUGCCACCUGUACAACCAAAGGGGUUAUUUACAUGAUAAUUUGUGAUUGUAAUUUAUCAUAUGUGGGGCAGACUCGUCGAGAAGUUAAGAGCAGAAUUAUAGAGCACAGGAGCAAAAUACGAAAUCAUGUCAGAGAAUCCAUACUGUACAAACAUUUCUGUGAUCUACAGCAUAGUCCUGAAUCAUUCAAAUACCACAUACUAGAAGUAGUAUCACAAUCCAAACAUAUGGACUUCAAUAAUAAACUUUUGCAAAGGGAAACAUAUUGGAUUUUCAGAUUACGGACAGAACAUCCACAGGGCUUAAAUGAACAAAAUUCAUACAGUUGUUAUAUAUAG
Molecule: long non-coding RNA, 1392 nt
Filed under: Anolis carolinensis (green anole)
Lineage: Eukaryota; Metazoa; Chordata; Lepidosauria; Squamata; Anolidae
Description: lncRNA (ENSACAG00000044178.1)
Source: RNAcentral